GACGAACGCUGGCGGCGUGCCUAAUACAUGCAAGUAGAACGCUGAAGAGAGGAGCUUGCUCUUCUUGGAUGAGUUGCGAACGGGUGAGUAACGCGUAGGUAACCUGCCUUGUAGCGGGGGAUAACUAUUGGAAACGAUAGCUAAUACCGCAUAACAAUGGAUGACACAUGUCAUUUAUUUGAAAGGGGCAAUUGCUCCACUACAAGAUGGACCUGCGUUGUAUUAGCUAGUAGGUGAGGUAAUGGCUCACCUAGGCGACGAUACAUAGCCGACCUGAGAGGGUGAUCGGCCACACUGGGACUGAGACACGGCCCAGACUCCUACGGGAGGCAGCAGUAGGGAAUCUUCGGCAAUGGGGGCAACCCUGACCGAGCAACGCCGCGUGAGUGAAGAAGGUUUUCGGAUCGUAAAGGUCUGUUGUAAGUCAAGAACGGGUGUGAGAGUGGAAAGUUCACACUGUGACGGUAGCUUACCAGAAAGAGACGGCUAACUACGUG
Molecule: ribosomal RNA, 497 nt
Filed under: uncultured bacterium
Lineage: Bacteria
Description: partial 16S ribosomal RNA
Rfam family: Bacterial small subunit ribosomal RNA
Source: RNAcentral